GUCUGGUGCGGGCAGGGUGGGCAGGCUGGGUUGAAGAUCCAUGGAUAGCGGGUGGCCGCGUGGCUCAAGCUGCAAGGGGGCCACUGCCUGAUGAAUUGCCAGAGGGGAACCACCAGCUCGGCUCUUAAUAACCGGAUCUGCAUCCUGCUGCUGCCCAGCUGGGCUGAGGGCCCUGACCACAGCUAAGGGGAGUCAUCACAGGGCUUCAGGGCUGGAAUUCCAGUGCUGCAGGAUGAGUGGCGCUGGUCUCGGGAUCCGCAGAGUCUACAGGGCCCUGGGCUUGGACACCGUCUCAGGGGUUUGUGCCUUCAGAGCCUGGUGGAGCAGCCAAGCAACUGGGCACAUGAAGACAAAGGUUUCUGCAAGAAUGACGGGCAGCAUGAUGCUCAGCUGCAUGUGGAGGCACUGAGGCUGGACGAACCCUUGGGACGGGCAGCCCAGCGGGUGGGUGAGGCCAUCUUCCCCAUCUACCCGAGGCCAGACCAACCCCGCAUGAACCCAAAGGCUCAGGAUCACGAGGACCUGUACCGCUACUGUGGCAACCUGGCUCUGCUCCGGGCUAGCACGGACCCCACAGCCCGACACUGUGGGAGCCUGGCCUACAGUGUGGCCUUCCACGUCCACCGGGGCCCUCAGCCUCCAGUCUCAGACAGCCCUCCCAGGGCUGGCCAGCCAGAACUGAUGUCACCAUGCCCAGAGCCCCAGCUCCCCAUACUGCAGAACUGAUGAUGGUCAUGGGGGGCAGUGGAGCAGGGGCAGGAGAGCAGGAUGAGCAGGAAUGCAAUAAUCAAGAUGAUCCAGAAUGAGAAGGAAGCGGAAGACAAGGCUCAGUGUGAGACCAGGGUCAGAGCUCAGCAAACUUCCACGACUGGCUUUGAAUCAGAAUCAUUUUGCUUCUCAGCCACGGCCCCUGGGUUACACAGCCUUAAAUGGCCCUGCCAAUGCUGGUCACAGCAUUCCCUAGUCCUGGAGACUCGGGAACUAAAACAAUCAAUUCCCCUGAGCAAUAAAAUUAUGGACAGUGAACACCUUCGCUUCUCCAGUCCCCAAGCUUCCUGCUCUGUGUGGGUGGGGAGGUGAUGGUGG
Molecule: long non-coding RNA, 1086 nt
Filed under: Homo sapiens (human)
Lineage: Eukaryota; Metazoa; Chordata; Mammalia; Primates; Hominidae
Description: HSALNT0382271
Source: RNAcentral